This 81-nucleotide transfer RNA is filed under the name Candidatus Adamsella sp. Its description in RNAcentral is "tRNA-Leu". It matches the Rfam family "tRNA". Rfam says of the family: Transfer RNA (tRNA) molecules are approximately 80 nucleotides in length. Their secondary structure includes four short double-helical elements and three loops (D, anti-codon, and T loops). Lineage: Bacteria; Bacillati. The record is from RNAcentral.
GUCGAUGUGGCGAAAUGGUAGACGCGCAUGUUUCAGGAGCAUGUGAAGAGAUUCAUGAGGGUUCGAGUCCCUCCAUCGACA